CGCAUUUUUAAUGGCAUACUGUUUUAAGGAAAACAUAAUCAGACGUAAAAUUGUUAAACCAUGUCAAUCAAUCUGGAUAAAUGUUGAACAUUCUUGGUUUUCAAAAAAGACUAUUUCUUCCUCUUGCAUGCACUUUCACAACAAAAGCAACAUCAUACAUUGUGUUGACUUAAAUUUUGUAUUAAAGAUUCAUAUGCUCUUAUUUUUUCAAAUCCAAGUGAUGCAGCCAAGAAAUUCCAGAAAAUUCAUAGUCAAAUAUCCAAGAGUCUAAGGAUAUGUUUGGUAGAAGGUUAAAAAUUCAAAAAUUAAAUGUUAUCCUUGUAAGUUUUAACCUUUAAGAGGUAAUUAUUAAUCUAAUCCCCAAGGUUAACAUUACUCUCCUAAGAUGGUAUAAAUACUAAUGGAAUAAAAAGUUAUCAUAGUUUCUUUAAGUAUACAAACAACAUUAAUGAGAGGUUAAA
This 461-nucleotide unclassified non-coding RNA is filed under the name Hevea brasiliensis (rubber tree). Lineage: Eukaryota; Viridiplantae; Streptophyta; Magnoliopsida; Malpighiales; Euphorbiaceae. The record is from RNAcentral.